UACGUAGGGGGCAAGCGUUGUCCGGAUUUAUUGGGCGGAAAGAGCGUGUAGGCGGUUUGGUAGGUCCGCUGUGAAAACUCGAGGCUCAACCUCGAGACGCCGGUGGAAACCAUCAGACUAGAGUCCGGAAGAGGAGAGUGGAAUUCCUGGUGUAGCGGUGAAAUGCGCAGAUAUCAGGAAGAACACCCGUGGCUAAGGCGGCCUACUGGGCCAGCACUGACGCUGAGGCGCGAAAGCUCGGGGAGCGAACGGG
This 253-nucleotide ribosomal RNA is filed under the name uncultured bacterium. RNAcentral describes it as "partial 16S ribosomal RNA". It matches the Rfam family "Bacterial small subunit ribosomal RNA", at positions 524 to 776 of the family's 1533-position model. The record is from RNAcentral.